Molecule: ribosomal RNA, 460 nt
Filed under: uncultured bacterium
Lineage: Bacteria
Description: partial 16S ribosomal RNA
Rfam family: Bacterial small subunit ribosomal RNA
Source: RNAcentral
CCUACGGGAGGCUGCAGUGAGGAAUAUUGGUCAAUGGCCGUAAGGCUGAACCAGCCAAGUCGCGUGAAGGAAGAAGGAUCUAUGGUUUGUAAACUUCUUUUAUAGGGGAAUAAAGGUAUCCACGUGUGGCUAUUUGCAUGUACCCUAUGAAUAAGCAUCGGCUAACUCCGUGCCAGCAGCCGCGGUAAUACGGAGGAUGCGAGCGUUAUCCGGAUUUAUUGGGUUUAAAGGGUGCGUAGGUUGUUUUUUAAGUCAGCGGUGAAAGUUUGUGGCUCAACCAUAAAAUUGCCGUUGAAACUGGAAGACUUGAGUAUGUUUGAGGUAGGCGGAAUGCGUGGUGUAGCGGUGAAAUGCAUAGAUAUCACGCAGAACUCCGAUUGCGAAGGCAGCUUACUAAGCCAUAACUGACACUGAAGCACGAAAGCGUGGGGAUCAAACAGGAUUAGAUACCCUAGUAGUC